AACGAACGCUGGCGGCAGGCUUAACACAUGCAAGUCGAACGCCCCGCAAGGGGAGUGGCGCACGGGUGAGUAACGCGUGGGAACGUGCCUUUUAGUUGGGGAUAACUACUGGAAACGGUAGCUAAUACCCGAUACGCCCUUAGGGGGAAAGAUUUAUCGCUAAAAGAUCGGCCCGCGUUAGAUUAGGUAGUUGGUGGGGUAAUGGCCUACCAAGCCUACGAUCUAUAGCUGGUCUGAGAGGAUGGCCAGCCACACUGGAACUGAGACACGGUCCAGACUCCUACGGGAGGCAGCAGUGGGGAAUGUUGGACAAUGGGGGAAACCCUGAUCCAGCCAUGCCGCGUGAAUGAUGAAGGCCUUAGGGUUGUAAAGUUCUUUUGUCAGGGAAGAUAAUGACGGUACCUGAAGAAUAAGCACCGGCUAACUUCGUGCCAGCCGCCGCUGUAA
This 447-nucleotide ribosomal RNA is filed under the name uncultured bacterium. RNAcentral describes it as "partial 16S ribosomal RNA". It matches the Rfam family "Bacterial small subunit ribosomal RNA", at positions 29 to 523 of the family's 1533-position model. The record is from RNAcentral.